Molecule: long non-coding RNA, 2569 nt
Filed under: Homo sapiens (human)
Lineage: Eukaryota; Metazoa; Chordata; Mammalia; Primates; Hominidae
Description: PREDICTED lncRNA (TCONS_00060961)
Source: RNAcentral
AAAUAUUUUAAUAACAAUACUGCAGGGGUAUGAACUCUGGCUUUAAGAAACUCACAAGGAAUUUUAUGUUCUAUACCCUUUGUUUCUUUUUCUUGUGUGCUUCGGUCAGGAAAAAUCAUUAGUCAAGUUAAUCAAGGGGAUCUGAGAGCCAAAUACAAGAUUCAACGUAAAAAUGGAAUCCUUGGGCUAGGCGUGGUGGCUCAGGCCUGUAAUCCCAGGACUUUGGGAGGCUGAGGCAGGCGGAUCACCUGACCUUAGGAGUUCGAGACCAGUCUGGCCAACAUGGUGAAACCCCGUCUCCACUAAAAAUACAAAAAUUAGCCAGGCGUGGUGGUGGGCACCUGUAAUCCCAGCUACUUUGGAGGCUGAGGCAGGAUAAUCACUUGAACCCAGGAGGCAGAGGUUGCAGUGAUCUGAGAUUGCACCACUGCACUCCAGCCUGGGCAAAAGAGCGAGACUCCAUCUCAUAAAUAAAUACAUAAAUAAAUAAAGAAAUCCUUAAUUUCUGCGGAACUGAGUGCUCUACCUUCUGGCUACACCUACGUAUACCUGUAUGAGGUAUAGGCCCUGGAAGCAGCAAACACUUACAGAAAUGGUGAAAUCUUACUAAAGGUAAUCUAAAGUUAUGGUGGAACAUCCCAAAUGAACAACACUGCACUUUAGGAAGUACAUAUAAAAAUGAAGUCUCCCAAUUUAGUAUUAUUCAGGGAUGGCUGUUGAAGUUCAGAAGCUUCUAAAAAGAUUCCAAUAAUUUUACAGAUUCUUUUAAAAGAUUCUUUGUAAAAGGCAAAUAAAAAGCUUAAGUGACUAAUCAGAAAAAUUAGGUCUUCUAACCUUUUGUCAUUGUUACUGUCUUGCCCUGAAAGGGAAAAGAAAGCUGGAUAAAGUAUUUAUAGAAGAUAGAGGACCUGUGGUGGCUCAUGCCUGUAAUCCAAGGUGGAAGGAUUGCUUGAGGCCAGAAGUUCAAGACCAGUCCAAGCAACAUAGCAAGGCCCCAUCUCUACAAAAAAUGAAAAUAAAAUUAGCCGAGCGUGAUGGCUCAUGCCUGUAGUUCUAGCUUCUAGAGAGGCUGAGGCAGGAGGAUUGCUUGAGUCCAGGAGUUCAAGAUUACAGUGAGCUAUGGUCACACCACUGCACUCCAGCCUGGGUGAUGGAGUGAGACUGUCUCAAUAAAAAGACAAAAAGGCUGGCCAGGGGCAGUGGUUCAUGCCUGUAAACCCAGCACUUUGGGAGGCAAAGGCAGGAGGAUUGCUUAAGCCCAGGAAUUUGAGAUCAGCCUGGACAACAUGGUCAAGGAAGCUUUUCCUGAUCCACUAACUAAGGACAAUCAAACCCUUCAUGAUCUAGAAUCUGGAGACUGUGUCUUCUGGGAAUAGUAUCAGAGAAAGACUGCCCUUACUGCCCACAUGUAGCAAAACUUUGAGACGUUGAAUUAUGGGUCCAUAAUCUCACAACUCAGAGGGGCACCUCUAGACUCUUGGAACUGUAUAUCUAUUGGAGACUUUAAGGUAAAGCUGAACAGAGAGACGUUUUUCUCCAGAAGCAGACAGCACCAUAGUCAUGGACAGCUUUCCCAAGAUCACAGAUCAAGACUUCUCUGCCGUCAUGAGACUCAUAACCUCUUAAUUUUUUCUUGCUUAUGCUUCUGUGAACAAUAGAAUUGGAAAAGGGGUGGUCCCGCGUGCACCCAUAGGGUAUACUUUUAUUUGUGGAGGAUUUUGCUGCCAACCUUAUACAUGGGCAAACUUAUGCCUUCAUGGAUGGAAGAUAAAGGGCUAAUAUGGGUUAGAAAUUUUAAUGGUACCUUUGUUUCUCCAUAAUCAUUCAGAAACAGAACACUGGUCCACUCUUGUUAACCUACAUCAUAGGUUGAAGAGAACAUUGCCAGGAGGCCUUCAUCCUUCCAGAUGGGCACCAUUUGUUGGGUCUUUUUCCGUGGUAUGAAGAAAAUGAAGCAAUGAUUAGAAAUUGGUCCCUCGGCCGGGCACAAUGGCUCAUGCCUGUAAUCCCAUCACUUUGGCAGGCCGAGGCGGGUGGAUCACCUGAGGUCAGGAGUUUGAGACCAGCCUGACCAAUGUGGUGAAACGCCAUCUCUACUAAAAAUACAAAAAUUAGCUGGGUGUGAUGGUGCACACCUGUAAUCCAGCUACUCGGGAGGCUGAGACAGGAGAAUUGCUUGAACCUGGGAGGCAGAGGUUGCAGUGAGCCAAGAUCACCCCACUGCAUUCCAGGUUGGGCAACAGAGCAAGACUCUGUCUCAAAAAAAAAAGAAGAAAGAAAGAAAUUGAUCCCUCAUAAUAGGCUGUAUAGCAGAUUCUACUGCAAAGGCUAUGGUUGCACAACAGACUUCUUUGAAUUUGCUUGCUAAACUUUUACUGGAUAAUACUGGGAUUACAGGUGUGAGCCACUGUGCCCAGCCUCUCCUGUUUAACUGUAUUCAUUCUAAUGUUUACUUACUUCUUUAAUUUGUAAAAUUGGGUCACUUAGAGUUUUUUUAGCCUAUCUUGCCAUUUAGCCACUGUUACUGAUAAUUUGGAUGGAAAAGAAAAAUAAAUUAUAUCACCUCUCA